Molecule: long non-coding RNA, 1365 nt
Organism: Pongo pygmaeus (Bornean orangutan)
Lineage: Eukaryota; Metazoa; Chordata; Mammalia; Primates; Hominidae
Exons: 3
Source: RefSeq, a predicted model, not a curated record
GUGCUUUCACUAGGGCCUCAUGCUGCUUAGUGGCCGAUUUGCAGGGAAUCUGGGCACAGUCUCAAUAACACCAGGGCCAAAAAUAACAACGUUCCUGAGAACCAGAGCAGCUGGAGCGCACCCCAUGGAAGCUGGGCCAUCUCCCCGGGGACUAGUGCCUGACAGAGCUGACAGAGUUCUAGGCCACAUGUGGGCUAGAAGGAACCGCCAUGUCUACCACAGCACAGUCCUUAAACAAGAGCCUUUUGAAGCACUUGGACUCAAAACAAUGGCUGUUUUUGUUGUUGUUUGUUUGUUUGUUUUGAGGGAGCCAGAAAGCUAAAAAAUGUAAAAGAAGCAGGUCAUGUUAGAUGUGAUUUCAGACAGCCUCCCCAAAGGACAGAUGAUCUCACUUGGCAACACAUACUGGGCCAGGCUCACUCAUGAGGGGGCAGCGUGGCAUGCACCCCACUCAGGGGCAAGAAUGAGGCUGAAAUAUUAGCUGACUCAGAACAUAGCAAGUGCUCAGUAAUGGCUUCUGGAACGAACCCGUGGUUGUCACCAGCAGGAGUGAUGAAAGCUAGAAGCCGUUUCACCAUCCAGGGAAGAGGAGGAACAAUAUUUUUCUCUUUGGAGUUCCCACACUCCGAAGAGAGAACACCAGCACAUGAACACAGAGUGUCACAUGAUGUAGGAAACGUCCUAUCCAGUCAUUGUGAAGAAUCGGAGGCACGGGGAGAUUAAGAGAGCUACUCAAGAAGACACGGUGCCAGGUUUCUACCCAAGCCAUUUGGAUCUAGGGUCUGGAGGCCAUGUGCACCAUUUUGCAUUAGAUUAACGCUUUAAUUCAGUUCACAGUUAGACAAUACACGUUCCCCAUCUAUAUCUAUACCCAUCUGGAAGGCGUCAAAAAGAUAAUAAACCGAUAGUGUCAUGUGCCAUGACCCAGCUAACAAAGAGGCUCUGGGUUCCAAUGCCACAGUCUUUCAUGGGAUUCCAUCGACCUCAUGCCCUGCUCCCCUCCCCAACAGAGAUAGAAACAUUAUCCUGAAUUUUGUGUUUAUCAUCCCUUGUUUCUCUCUAUAGUUUUGACACUUACAGUUGUAUGAUUUUUAUUUGUUUGUUUUUUGUUUUUUGAGACGGCAUCUCGCUCUGUCACCAGGCUGGAGUGCAGUGGCGUGAUCUCAGCUCUGCCUCCCAAGUUCAAGCCAUCCUCCUGCCUCAGCCUCCCAGGUAGCUGGGACUACAGGCACACGCCACCAUGCCCAGCUAAUUUUUGUAUUUUUAGUAGAGACAGGGUUUCACCUUAUGGUUGUAUCUUUAAACAAUGUCUUGUUUAGUUUUGCCAUGUUUUCGGACUGUGAAUAAAUAGAACUAUGCUGUGUG